Molecule: ribosomal RNA, 829 nt
Filed under: uncultured bacterium
Lineage: Bacteria
Description: bacterial SSU rRNA
Rfam family: Bacterial small subunit ribosomal RNA
Source: RNAcentral
UCAUGAUGAACGCUAGCUACAGGCUUAACACAUGCAAGUCGAGGGGAAACGACAUCGAAAGCUUGCUUUCGAUGGGCGUCGACCGGCGCACGGGUGAGUAACGCGUAUCCAACCUGCCCAUCACUUGGGGAUAACCUUGCGAAAGUAAGACUAAUACCCAAUGACGUCUCUAGAAGACAUCUGAAGGAGAUUAAAGAUUUAUCGGUGAUGGAUGGGGAUGCGUCUGAUUAGCUUGUUGGCGGGGUAACGGCCCACCAAGGCGACGAUCAGUAGGGGUUCUGAGAGGAAGGUCCCCCACAUUGGAACUGAGACACGGUCCAAACUCCUACGGGAGGCAGCAGUGAGGAAUAUUGGUCAAUGGGCGAGAGCCUGAACCAGCCAAGUAGCGUGCAGGAUGACGGCCCUAUGGGUUGUAAACUGCUUUUAUAAGGGAAUAAAGUGAGCCUCGUGAGGCUUUUUGCAUGUACCUUAUGAAUAAGGACCGGCUAAUUCCGUGCCAGCAGCCGCGGUAAUACGGAAGGUCCGGGCGUUAUCCGGAUUUAUUGGGUUUAAAGGGAGCGUAGGCCGGAGAUUAAGCGUGUUGUGAAAUGUAGACGCUCAACGUCUGCACUGCAGCGCGAACUGGUUUCCUUGAGUACGCACAAAGUGGGCGGAAUUCGUGGUGUAGCGGUGAAAUGCUUAGAUAUCACGAAGAACUCCGAUUGCGAAGGCAGCUCACUGGAGCGCAACUGACGCUGAAGCUCGAAAGUGCGGGUAUCGAACAGGAUUAGAUACCCUGGUAGUCCGCACGGUAAACGAUGGAUGCCCGCUGUUGGUCUGAAUAGGUCAG